RNAcentral lists this long non-coding RNA (1419 nucleotides) under Nicotiana benthamiana. RNAcentral's name for it is "long non-coding RNA (NBEN_LNC042182)". Lineage: Eukaryota; Viridiplantae; Streptophyta; Magnoliopsida; Solanales; Solanaceae. The record is from RNAcentral.
CAACCCAAUUCAUUCUUUUAAAAUAACUAUUUAACACAAUUAUAGUAUAACAUAGUUUAAUAAUACCAAAUAGCUGAAAUCCAACCCAACAUAGCUCUAACCGGGGUGUGACAAGUCAUGAGCAACUAAGGAAUCCUAACACAAGUCUACUGAAUAUGAAAUACGAUACAAUAAUUCGAAUAACAUAGAAAUAAUAAGAUAAAGGAUGGGGGUUGCGAACGCCAACAGCUACCUUGUAGUCUCCGAAAACACCACCUGGACUGGAAGGAUCAACUCUCAGGUAUGGAAAUCUUCUAUGCUUGAAUCUGCACACACGGUGCAGAGAGUAAUGUGAGUACUCCGACCCAGUGAGUAAUAAAUAUAAAUAAUGACUGAAAGUAAGAAAACACGUAAAGGCACAAAACAUUCUAUAUCGAAGCAGUAAAAUCAUUUUAAAACCAGUAAUUAGGUAAUUUGGCAGUAAAUGACAAAUAGAAAUCUGUCACUCGAACUCAAUAUCAAAAUAACGGGUGCAGUAUCAGCCCCUCGGGCUCACUUUCAGAAUAGUAUCAGCCACGCGGGCUUAGUAUCAGUCACUCGGUACAACAUUAGCCCCUCAGGCUCACUCAAAGCCUUCUCACAUAAUACUCGAGGCCUGAAAGCCUCAUCAUAUCACUCAAUAUAUCCUCAUAUAUGACCCUCGGUCAUAAUCAAUCCAAAAAAUAAUCAUAAGCCCCUUGGACAUCAGUAAAACAAUGGUGCUUAUCAUUUUUAAUGUUUACCUUAUAAAUCACGUAAUCUUAUCAAGUUGAUGUGAGUUAAUGUAAAAAUCAAGUACGAGUACAUUUACACCAAAAUCAGAGCGGAAGUAGAGUGUAGUUUACGGCCGAUUUAUAAGAAUAUGCAAAUGGCCCAUUGUAAUGUAAUUACAAACCCCAAAAAAAAAAGAGAAGAAGUGUGAUUCUAACUUUAGCAUUGAUGUUUUUUUCCCAUUUAAUUGUAUGGCAAGGAUUAAGAGAGAAAUAAAAGUUCUCUUGCAAGGAACAAGAUUGGUUGAAAAUAAAUAUUUGCUCAAAUCGGUAAAUGGAAGGCUAUCCCGCGGUCUCUAUCUGCUAAUUAAUUAUGUAAGUAUAUCUAAUGCGGUCUGAUAAGAGGGGUUGCUCUAAUGGUAAGCAACCCCUAUUUCUAAUUGAGAAAUUGUGAGUUUGAGUCUCCCCAAGAGCAAGGUGAGGAGUUAAUUUAGAAAGAGCUCGAAAUUGAAUUUUGAUUUUGCAAAAUAUUUUACGCGAAAAAAAUAUGGCAUGGUGACACUAUUGACACCACCAUUGCCGUCUGGACGAAGUGAACGGACAUUCUCCAACUCAGCUGAGAUCUUCAGAAGAAACUUCAUUCUGAAAAAUGGUUGUGAGGACUAAGGAUGAGAGAAUAUAUAUGAGAGAG